Molecule: ribosomal RNA, 901 nt
Filed under: uncultured Aquificia bacterium
Lineage: Bacteria; Pseudomonadati; Aquificota; Aquificia
Description: bacterial SSU rRNA
Rfam family: Bacterial small subunit ribosomal RNA
Source: RNAcentral
GAGAAUCAUGGGGGUUGUCUAGAAUGCAGUCGGGCGGGAUACAUCGUUGUAGCAAUACAGCGGUGUGUCUAGCGGCGAACGGGUGAGCAAUACAAGGGCAACUAUCCCUCAGGAGGGGCACAACCCACCGAAAGGUGGGCUAAUACCCCAUGUUUUGCGGCGGAGGCAUCUCUGCCGUAACAAAGGCGCCGCAAGGUGCCGCCUCUGGACAGGCUCUUGUCCUAUCAGCUUGAUGGCGGGGUAACGGCCCACCAUGGCAACGACGGGUAGCCGGCGUGAGAGCGUGACCGGCCACAGGGGAACUGCGAUACGGUCCCCACUCCUACGGGAGGCAGCAGUCUAGAAAUUUGGGCAAUGGGCGAAAGCCUGACCCAGCGACACCGCGUGGAGGAUGAAGUCUUUCGGGAUGUAAACUCCUGACAGGCGGAGCGAUGCCGUUUCGGAGUAACUGCCGUAACGGUGACGGUACUGCCAAAGGAAGCCCCGGCUAACUACGUGCCAGCAGCCGCGGUAAUACGUAGGGGGCAAGCGCUGUCCGGAUUUACUGGGCGUAAAGGGUGUGCAGGCGGUCUGGCGUGUCGGUGGUGAAAGCCCUCGGCUUAACCGAGGAAGUGCUGCCGAAACUACCAGACUUGAGGACGGAAGAGGAAACUGGAACUUCUGGUGUAGCGGUAAAAUGCGUAGAUAUCAGAAGGAACGCCGAUAGCGAAGGCAGGUUUCUGGGACGUUCCUGACGCUGAAACACGAAAGCUAGGGGAGCAAACAGGAUUAGAUACCCUGGUAGUCCUAGCUGUAAACGAUGUACAUUACGCGUGGGGAUUUUCCCCGUGCCGGAGCCAACGCGUUAAAUGUACCGCCUGGGGACUACGGCCGCAAGGUUGAAACUCAAAGGAAUUGACGG